UACAGAGGUCCCAAGCGUUGUUCGGAUUCACUGGGCGUAAAGGGUGCGUAGGUGGCAGGUAAGUUUGAUGUGAAAUCUCCGAGCUCAACUCGGAAACUGCAUUGAAUACUAUCCUGCUUGAGGAUUGGAGGGGAGACUGGAAUUCUCGGUGUAGCAGUGAAAUGCGUAGAUAUCGAGAGGAACACCAGUGGCGAAGGCGAGUCUCUAGACAACUCCUGACACUGAGGCACGAAAGCUAGGGGAGCAAACAGG
Molecule: ribosomal RNA, 252 nt
Filed under: uncultured bacterium
Lineage: Bacteria
Description: partial 16S ribosomal RNA
Rfam family: Bacterial small subunit ribosomal RNA
Source: RNAcentral